UGGGGAAUCUUGGACAAUGGGCGCAAGCCUGAUCCAGCCAUGCCGCGUGAGUGAUGAAGGCCUUAGGGUUGUAAAGCUCUUUUGGCGGGGACGAUAAUGACGGUACCCGCAGAAUAAGCCCCGGCUAACUUCGUGCCAGCAGCCGCGGUAAUACGAAGGGGGCUAGCGUUGUUCGGAAUUACUGGGCGUAAAGCGCACGUAGGCGGAUUUGUCAGUCAGGGGUGAAAUCCCGAGGCUCAACCUCGGAACUGCCUCCGAUACAGCAAGUCUCGAGUCCGGAAGAGGUGAGUGGAAUUCCUAGUGUAGAGGUGAAAUUCGUAGAUAUUAGGAAGAACACCAGUGGCGAAGGCGGCUCACUGGUCCGGUACUGACGCUGAGACGCGAAAGCGUGGGGAGCAAACAGGAUUAGAUACCCAGGUAGUCCCUGAGCGGGCUGGCAAGGCGCAU
Molecule: ribosomal RNA, 447 nt
Filed under: uncultured bacterium
Lineage: Bacteria
Description: bacterial SSU rRNA
Rfam family: Bacterial small subunit ribosomal RNA
Source: RNAcentral